UACGUAGGCAGCAAGCGUUGUUCGGAGUUACUGGGCGUAAAGGGUGCGUAGGCGGUUGUUUAAGUUUGGCGUGAAAUCUCCCGGCUCAACUGGGAGGGUGCGCCGAAUACUGAAUGACUAGAGUGCGGGAGAGGAGAGUGGAAUUCCUGGUGUAGCGGUGAAAUGCGUAGAUAUCAGGAGGAACACCGGUGGUGUAGACGGCUCUCUGGACCGUAACUGACGCUGAGGCACGAAAGCGUGGGUAGCAAACAGG
RNAcentral lists this ribosomal RNA (253 nucleotides) under uncultured bacterium. RNAcentral's name for it is "partial 16S ribosomal RNA". It matches the Rfam family "Bacterial small subunit ribosomal RNA", at positions 524 to 776 of the family's 1533-position model. The record is from RNAcentral.